AAGCAGCCAACUACAACUCAGGCCAGGAAAAACACAAAACAGUCUUGACAAUAAUGAUCAUACAUCACUUAAAUAUUGAUCUAUCACUGUUUCACAUGUACAAGGGCUACAUUUCAAAAUAAACAACGCAGCAGAUGGUCAUUUAUUUACAAAACCUCCACCACAGUGGCCUUGCUUGGCUAUCAACAUCCCAUCAAAAGUGAGCGUCUUAAUCCUCCAUAAUUGCGAAACUAUUUAUAUAGCUUUGCAACACAAGCUUAUGAGGAAUAGCCAGAGAGAAACAUGGAGAAAUAUGAUGUCAAACAAAAGAGUCCAACCAGCAGACUUAAAUUUUCAAUUCAGGUCGCUGGUCAGAAGAUGCCCAGGCAAUAAAUAAUUAUCAAAAUAUGAAAACUAAAUUAAGUAAUGUCAAAAAUUUCUACACCCUUUUAAAGUAUAUCAAAUUGAAGCACAAUACUUCUACCAGGUAGAAAGGUAAAUUCUGAUAGUUUCAAUUAUGCACCUGCAAUCUAAGG
RNAcentral lists this unclassified non-coding RNA (515 nucleotides) under Hevea brasiliensis (rubber tree). The record is from RNAcentral. Lineage: Eukaryota; Viridiplantae; Streptophyta; Magnoliopsida; Malpighiales; Euphorbiaceae.